GAUGAACGCUGGCGGCGUGCCUAAUACAUGCAAGUCGAGCGAACGGACGAAAGCUUGCUUUUCUGAUGUUUGCGGCGGACGGGUGAGUAACACGUGGAUAACCUACCUAUAAGACUGGGAUAACUUCGGGAAACCGGAGCUAAUACCGGAUAAUAUUUUGAACCGCAUGGGUCAAAAGUGAAAGACGGUCUUGCUGUCACUUAUAGAUGGAUCCGCGCUGCAUUAGCUAGUUGGUAAGGUAACGGCUUACCAAGGCAACGAUGCAUAGCCGACCUGAGAGGGUGAUCGGCCACACUGGAACUGAGACACGGUCCAGACUCCUACGGGAGGCAGCAGUAGGGAAUCUUCCGCAAUGGGCGAAAGCCUGACGGAGCAACGCCGCGUGAGUGAUGAAGGUCUUCGGAUCGUAAAACUCUGUUAUUAGGGAAGAACAUAUGUGUAAGUAACUGUGCACAUCUUGACGGUACCUAAUCAGAAAGCCACGGCUAACUACGUG
RNAcentral lists this ribosomal RNA (496 nucleotides) under uncultured bacterium. RNAcentral's name for it is "partial 16S ribosomal RNA". It matches the Rfam family "Bacterial small subunit ribosomal RNA", at positions 28 to 507 of the family's 1533-position model. The record is from RNAcentral.